UCCCUGGUGGUCCAGUGGUUAAGAAUCUGCCUUGCAAUGGCAAGGAUGCAGGUUUGAUCCCUGGUCGGGGAA
This 72-nucleotide transfer RNA is filed under the name Ovis aries (sheep). It matches the Rfam family "tRNA". From Rfam's summary of the family: Transfer RNA (tRNA) molecules are approximately 80 nucleotides in length. Their secondary structure includes four short double-helical elements and three loops (D, anti-codon, and T loops). The record is from Rfam by way of RNAcentral. Lineage: Eukaryota; Metazoa; Chordata; Mammalia; Artiodactyla; Bovidae.